GUUUCGGUGGCGCCGGCGUUGAUCGUGGUUUUUCUGUGGUGGAUGUUGUUGAUGGUCACUUGUCGAAAGACUCAACUUAGUAAUUAUCGCGAGAUUCCUCGUGUUACGUUGACUUUGUGCCUUCCGGAUGACCGAAGAUCGUUCCGCUCCUCCAGAAUCGGAAUUAUGGCGAAUUCGUGGUUGGUCAGUAUCGUGCGCGGAACCAACCUACAAGAUGUCGGGAUUUUCCAUCCGAUUCGUGAUUACAUGGAUCUUCUACAACCACUAAGAGGUAUAUUAAUAAAGGAUUUGGUGGAUUCGGAGUUUGAGAUUUUUUGUAAAAGAUCUCGUAUCUGAGUGCUCUGGCUUAAGGUAUUUUGAUUGGGUUGAUUCUUGAUGGGGCUAAUACCGGAACAGGUUGUAUUGGUAAGAUCGUUUAGGUAUUUUAUGUGGUUAUUGGAUCUGGUUGAUAUAUUUGGAGGUAUGGUUGCGAGGGGUGUGUGUAAGUGAUUGUUCUGAUGUUAGCUCUUGUUUAUGGACCUUUGCCAUGUCAGGUGCGCUUGCAUGGCAGGUCCGAAAAGCGUUAAUAAAAUGGUUAUUUUUUUUGUUUGGGGGAGGGUAGGAGUCGGGGCUUUUAUUUUAGUUUUUUCCCCGAUUCUUUUCUCUCUCCCCGUGGUGUCGUGUUUUACCCUUUCCCUUUCCCUUUCUCUUCCUUAGUCUCUCUGCUCUGCACUCUGAAUUUUUUUAUAUAUUCUGGUUCGCUUACUGCAUAUCGGCUCAACAAAACGACAAAACGAUUGGCUACUCGGAAAGGUACAUAGUGCUGAAUGCACACUUUAAUUCAUUUUAAUUUCGUUGUUUAUGAAUUUACUCUUCGAGUUUGCAAUACAUAAUUAACACUAUUCCAUGCAUCUAAAUCAAUUAAUAGGGCGGUUUUAUUGAAUCUUAAUUAACAUUUAAGUCAUUGCUACAAUUUAUGCAUACUUUAAUUAUUUCUUGACCGUAUGUUUUAUAAUUUCGCAAAUAAAUUAUUUGUUUAAGCAUAUAUACUCUGCCCUACUGUGAUUUGUAAUUCACAUCAAUAGAAUUGAUUUGAAGGGGGUUUCCAAUAAAUUAAUAAUUAAGGAAUUUAUAAACUUCAUCGAAGGAGAUUUGAACAAUGUAAAUUGCUCCUUUUAGUUCUGUGGUUUUAUAAACUUUAACUUGAUUGAUUAAAGUUAAUUUAUUAAACUGAGGCACAGCAUGAUUUUUAAUAUUUGUUCCAAAUUUAUAUAUUAUUCAACAAUUGAAUCAAAGUGGCUUUGGAAUUACAAUAAAAAAUGUGCAAAUGUUUCUUUGUUGAGAGCUCAUGCAUAUAUUAACAAUUGAAUCAAAGUGCCUUUGGAUUCACGAUAUAAUAGUGUGCGAAUGUUUAUAUUUUCUGUUGAGCGCACAUGCACAUCAACUAGUUCAUUUAUAUCAGAUGCAGUACUUAAACUUAUUUUUUCAUUUUUUUAGUUAUAUAUAUUUAUAUUUUAAACUUAUCUUAAAGUUUUUAUCUAUAAAUACCAGUCAAUGUCUCCUCGUAGAAUCCUGCAUGUAUUGUGAUAAUCUCGUAGGUUAGGGUGAUGUCUUACUGCAAUUGUAUUAUGGAGCUAUUAUUGGCUAACAUUUGUACUUUAGUUCUGUUUAGGAUCAUUGGGAUUUUGUUGUAUUUUUAUGUUUAAAAAAUCUGCCGUGGUACACGAGGCAGUGAUCAUAGAUUGCUGUAAACACCUGUGCCUAGUGUAGCUUUAAGGUUCCUUAUAUCUGCAGUAUUCUGCUUUGGAUCAGCAUCAAUAUUGGCCUUUGUCAAGAACUGUGCGACUGGCCUCUUACAUGUUCCUUUGGAGUCUAGAUAUAGUAUUUGAAAAGGAGUCUGAGAUCAUGCAGAGGAUGAAUGUACGUGUUAUUCUGCGAAGCGGGGAAGGACCUUCAGACUUGGAGGUUAGAUAUCAAUCUUCUAUCACUUGAAAAUUUCGAUCCACGUCGAGGCUAUUUAUCUAGAGAUUUGACUUUGGUGCUUCAUCAAAUCAUGCUGGAUCAACGACAAGCCGCAGUGCAUUAUAAUCAAACGAUUGUUUUAUGUUCGGUCAUGUAACGUCGACGUUAAUGGUCACGUCUUUUAUAUUUGGCGACAUCUUCGGGGAAUCUGUAUACUGUUGACGAAAUCCUGAAGUUGGUGGUUGUUCUCAACUUCUCCUAUCCUUGAUCAUUGUUAUUGAAAAUUUUCCUCGUUCUGUAUUCAUGGGAAAAAUAUUUGUCUCUGGUUUGUUCUCUACUCCAUUUUUUAACUAUGAACAUGCUGAAACAGUUUUUUCCAG
Molecule: non-coding RNA, 2321 nt
Organism: Vigna umbellata (rice bean)
Lineage: Eukaryota; Viridiplantae; Streptophyta; Magnoliopsida; Fabales; Fabaceae
Source: RefSeq, a predicted model, not a curated record